Molecule: long non-coding RNA, 650 nt
Organism: Manis javanica (Malayan pangolin)
Lineage: Eukaryota; Metazoa; Chordata; Mammalia; Pholidota; Manidae
Source: RefSeq, a predicted model, not a curated record
GUGGCGGACAAGCUGUGAUACAGCAAAGGAUUGAUUGCAGAGAAGAUAUGUGUCAGGCCGAUGAGGAUCUGGAUGGCCUGCCGGGGAGGACAGGUCACUGUCCACAGCUGGGAGAGCUCAUGUCAGCAUGUGACUUACCAGGCAAAGACUUCUUGGAUACUUUUCUGCUGCCACGGAGAGGGAUCCAGAAACGAUGAACUGGCACCGAAGAGAGGGGUUUAGAAAGAGCAGAGAGGGUUGCCCAGAUUUCAUCAUGUGAAUGUUCUGUGGAGUAGUUAGAACAUAGAUAUUGGGCAGAUCCCAUUCAAGUGCACUGGGUUUACAGUCCACCUCAUGGCUUCCUGGGCCCACUUUCUUCCAGAGGCCACAUGGAUCAACACGGAUGCUGACAAUAACACCAGCAUUUAAGUUUACCACUUUUUUUUUGUUGGUUUUCUUCCUCUUUCUUGAAAUGUCUAAGUCAGAAAAUACAAGGCCCCAUACCGAGGCCCUGGUGAUGUUGCUCAGCUGAGCUUUCUAAUGGACCAGAGUUCAGCAAGGCUGGGUCAGCUCCAGUCCUGCAGGCUGGGUCUGGAGCUUCUGUAUUUCCAAGCCUCCCCCGACUCCUCCAACUCCAGCUGUGUGACCACUGGCCUGCAGAGUGAAAUCUC